Molecule: ribosomal RNA, 274 nt
Filed under: uncultured bacterium
Lineage: Bacteria
Description: partial 16S ribosomal RNA
Rfam family: Bacterial small subunit ribosomal RNA
Source: RNAcentral
AUACGAAGGGGGCUAGCGUUGUUCGGAAUUACUGGGCAUAAAGCGCGCGCAGGCGGUUUUCCAAGUCAGUGGUGAAAGCCCAGAGCUCAACUCUGGAACUGCCAUUGAAACUAGAAAACUAGGGUACGGGAGAGGUGAGUGGAAUUCCGAGUGUAGAGGUGAAAUUCGUAGAUAUUCGGAAGAACACCAGUGGCGAAGGCGGCUCACUGGCCCGUUACCGACGCUCAGGCGCGACAGCGUGGGGAGCAAACAGGAUUAGAUACCCCGGUAGUCC